Schistosoma curassoni is the source of this 45-nucleotide non-coding RNA. NCBI's taxonomy places the organism in Eukaryota, Metazoa, Platyhelminthes, Trematoda, Strigeidida, Schistosomatidae. The record is from Rfam.
AUGAAGCUGACGAGCCUCCAAUAGAGCGAAACGCGCGUCCUGGAU